RNAcentral lists this ribosomal RNA (305 nucleotides) under uncultured bacterium. RNAcentral's name for it is "bacterial SSU rRNA". It matches the Rfam family "Bacterial small subunit ribosomal RNA", at positions 336 to 655 of the family's 1533-position model. The record is from RNAcentral.
CCCCUACGGGGGGCAGCAGUGGGGAAUAUUGCACAAUGGGGGAAACCCCGAUGCAGCAACGCCGCGUGAAGGAAGACGGUUUUCGGAUUGUAAACUUCUAUCAAUAGGGAAGAAAGAAGUGACGGUACCUAAAUAAGAAGCCCCGGCUAACUACGUGCCAGCAGCCGCGGUAAUACGUAGGGGACAAGCGUUAUCCGGAAUUACUGGGUGUAAAGGGAGAGUAGGCGGCAAGGUAAGCGAUAUGUGAAAGCCUUAAGCUUAACUUAAGGAUGGCAUAACGAACUAUCUAGCUAGAGUACAGGAGA